This 402-nucleotide ribosomal RNA is filed under the name uncultured prokaryote. RNAcentral's name for it is "bacterial SSU rRNA". It matches the Rfam family "Bacterial small subunit ribosomal RNA", at positions 355 to 774 of the family's 1533-position model. The record is from RNAcentral.
UAGGGAAUAUUAGUAAUGGGCGAAAGCCUGAACUAGCAACACCGCGUGUGCGAAGAAGGCCUUCGGGUUGUAAAGCACUUUUUGAGAGGAUGAGGAAGGACGGUACUCUCAGAAUAAGUCUCGGCUAACUACGUGCCAGCAGCCGCGGUAACACGUAGGAGGCAAACGUUAUCCGGAUUUACUGGGCGUAAAGCGCGUGUAGGUGGUUUGGUAAGUAGAGCGUGAAAGCUCCUGGCUCAACUGGGAGAGGCCGUUCUAAACUACAGAACUAGAGGAUGGUAGAGGGAGGUGGAAUUCCAGGUGUAGCGGUGGAAUGCGCAGAUAUCUGGAGGAACACCAGUGGCGAAGGCGGCCUCCUGGACCAUUCCUGACACUCAGACGCGAAAGCUAGGGUAGCAAACG